GGGCCUUUAUAAGAAGGUAGGGAGCUCUUGUGUGAGGGGACUUUUUGAUAAUAUUAUAGAUUAAGCUUUGGCUCUUUGUGAACGGAAAACCCUUGGAGGAAAGAGUGUUCUCGUAUUCUUUGUGUUCUAUAGAGUCUAUACAAUAAAAUAUCACUCUUUUGUCUCUUUUCAAUUCUGGAUUCCUAUCAACUUGACAUGGUUCAAUAUAAGCUUAAGUGAACUCAAU
RNAcentral lists this long non-coding RNA (226 nucleotides) under Vigna radiata. Its description in RNAcentral is "long non-coding RNA (VRAD_LNC017274)". The record is from RNAcentral. Lineage: Eukaryota; Viridiplantae; Streptophyta; Magnoliopsida; Fabales; Fabaceae.